Pecten maximus is the source of this 1275-nucleotide long non-coding RNA. RefSeq lists it as uncharacterized. The transcript has 5 exons. NCBI's taxonomy places the organism in Eukaryota, Metazoa, Mollusca, Bivalvia, Pectinida, Pectinidae. The record is from RefSeq and is a predicted model, not a curated record.
AUCCGGAUAUAUUUUGAAGUCGUGUUCUAUUAUUAGGAAAUCUUAUACACACAUAUUGAUGACGUUUCACACAUUCGGCUUUCCCCGGCGACCUCGAGUACAUUGCGGGAUGAUUUUGUGAGAAAAACACCUUAAGACUGAUUAUCAUUGACAUACUGUAAACAUGUCUGACAGAGCCAUUGACCCAAAUCUACACACAGGACUCUGUAAUAUUUACAUCAAACAUUAUGAAAAAUGCAUCACGGAGAAUUCCUUCAUGAAACGACUUAUUCAUGGGCCCUGUGAUUUUUUAAAGGCAAAGAUGUUGAGGUGCUUUGAUGAGGAGAGAAUGGAAAAAAGUCGUGAUAAUAGGAAAUUUCAAAAGAAACUCAGGAAAGAAAAGGAAGAGGAGCAAAAAGAACGACUUCGGAAAGCAGAAGAGUUAAAGAAAGCAGAGGAAUUAUCCUCAUAAAGCUUGUUAAAAGUUCUAGAUUUGACAACUGGUUGGACACCAUCAGCUAAUAGUGACACCUGGUGGGAUAACAAUGUUAACUAGUGGUGACAUCUGGUGGAAUUAUUAAUUCAUUUGGUAGCGACACCUGAUGGGCUACAAAUUCAUUUAUUUGCGAUAGCUGGUGGAAUACUUUAUCUAAUAAUGGCAACACCUGGUGGUGCUACAAUAACAAUUAGUGGUGACACCUGGUGGGAUUACAAAUUCCAUUUACAAGCAAAACCGGGCGGCACUAUAAAUUCAUUUAUUAGCAACACCCGGUGGGACUUUAUAUACACUAUCAUCUAGUGGUGACACCUGGUGGAGCUAUGAUAUCAACUAGUGGUGACACCUGGUGGAGCUAUGAUAUCAACUAGUGGUGACACCUGGUGGAGCUAUGAUAUCAACUAGUGGUGACACCUGGUGGGGCUAUGAUAUCAACUGGUGGUGACAUCUGGUGGAGCUAUGAUAUCAACUGGUGGUGACAUCUGGUGGAGCUAUGAUAUCAACUAGUGGUGACACCUGGUGGUGACACCUGAUGGACUUACAUAUCAACUAGUUGUAGUACUUGUUGGGGCUUCAAUAUCAACUGGUUUUGACACCUCAGUAACCUGGUGCGACUUGAAUUGGAUGUGGAAUCGCUUUACUUUUGUUAUAUUUGUGUUUCUCAGUGUAAUGUUACGUGUGAAUAAGAGAGUCUAAUUGUAGUGUUUGAAGAUUGUCUGGAGAAAGAUAUAAUAUAGAUCAUGUAUGAACAAUGAAGAAAUAUCAAAUAUUUUCAAUAAAUAAAAAUGCUUUAUAAUUGA